CCUACGGGAGGCAGCAGUGGGGGAUAUUGCACAAUGGGGGGAACCCUGAUGCAGCGACGCCGCGUGGGUGAAGAAGCGCCUCGGCGCGUAAAGCCCUGUCAGCAGGGAAGAAAAUGACGGUACCUGAAGAAGAAGCCCCGGCUAACUACGUGCCAGCAGCCGCGGUAAUACGUAGGGGGCAAGAGUUAUCCGGAUUUACUGGGUGUAACGGGGGCGCAGACGGCGUUGCAAGCCAGGAGUGAAAGCCCGGGGCCCAACCCCGGGACUGCUCGUGGAACUGCGUGGCUGGAGGUAAGGAGGGGCAGGCGGAAUUCCUGGUGUAGCGGUGAAAUGCGUAGAUAUCAGGAGGAACACCGGUGGCGAAGGCGGCCUGCUGGACUGCAACUGACGUUGAGGCCCGAAAGCGUGGGGAGCAAACAGGAUUAGAUACCCCUGUAGUC
Molecule: ribosomal RNA, 440 nt
Filed under: uncultured bacterium
Lineage: Bacteria
Description: partial 16S ribosomal RNA
Rfam family: Bacterial small subunit ribosomal RNA
Source: RNAcentral